Molecule: long non-coding RNA, 1326 nt
Filed under: Olea europaea subsp. europaea
Lineage: Eukaryota; Viridiplantae; Streptophyta; Magnoliopsida; Lamiales; Oleaceae
Source: RNAcentral
AGAAAACGCGCCUUCAUAUACCGAGCAAGACAGUGAUGCUGAAAAAUUGGCUGCGGUUGAUGCAUGGAAGCAUUCUGAUUUCUUAUGCAGAAAUUAUGUGCUUAAUGGACUGGAUAACACAUUAUAUAAUGUGUACUGCAAUGCUAAGUCUGCAAAAGAACUGUGGGAAUCUUUGGACACAAAAUACAAAACCGAAGAUGCCGGCACGAAGAAAUUCAUUGUCGGUCGUUUUUUGGAUUAUAAAAUGGUUGACAACAAGACUGUCAUAUCCCAAGUUCAAGAACUUCAGAUCAUACUUAGCGACAUCCAUGCCGAAGGAAUGAAACUAAGUGAAUCAUUCCAAGUCGCUGCACUAAUUGAGAAAUUACCACCUUCAUGGAAGGAUUUCAAGAAUUACCUCAAGCACAAGCGGAAGGAAAUGAAACUUGAAGAUAUCAUUGUCCGUUUGAGAAUAGAAGAAGACAAUCGCAAAACGGAAAAAAGGAAUGGUGCAUCUACUUCGAUGGAACCAAAAGCCAACAUUGUAGAAGGAGGCCUCAAGACAAACAAAAAGAGGAAGCACAAUGGGGAAGGACAAAUUGGUUCUUCAAAAACUGCUAAAAAGUUUAAAGGCAACUGUUACAAUUGUGGCAAGGCAGGACAUCGUUCCAAGGAUUGUCGAAAGCCAAAAAAUGUGAAGGGAAAAACUAACCAGGCCAAUGUAACGGAACAUGAGAACCUCACUGAUAAGGUACAAGACAUGAAUCUUUCUGCGGUCGUCUCUGAAUGCAACUUAAUUGGAAACACUAAGGAGUGGUGGGUAGAUACUGGAGCUACUCGUCACAUAUGCUCAAACCGCGGGAUGUUCUCUACCUACAAAGCAAUGGAUCAUGAUGAACAUCUUUACAUGGGAAACUCGUCAUCUUCCAAGGUAGAAGGACAUGGGAAGAUAGUGCUGAAAAUGACAAGUGGAAAAGAGCUCACUCUGAAUGAUGUUCUUCAUGUGCCCGAUGUUAGAAAAAACUUAGUAUCUGGUUCUCUACUAAGUAAAAAUGGGUUUAAACUAGUAUUUGUCUCGGACAAAUUUGUACUAUCAAAGAAUGAAAUGUUUGUAGGAAAAGGCUACCUGAAUGAGGGGCUCUUUAAAUUGAAUGUAAUGACUGUUGUACCUCCAAUUAAUAAGAAUACAUCUUCUUCUUACUUGCUUGAGUCAUUUAACAUUUGGCAUGAACGAUUAGGACAUACAAGUUAUAACACUUUGCGUAGACUAAUCAAAUUAGAUUUAUUACCAAAGUGUGAUUUAAAUCCUAAUCACAAAUGCGAUAUAUGUGUAGAAGCCAAAAUGUC